This 493-nucleotide ribosomal RNA is filed under the name uncultured bacterium. RNAcentral's name for it is "bacterial SSU rRNA". It matches the Rfam family "Bacterial small subunit ribosomal RNA", at positions 19 to 507 of the family's 1533-position model. The record is from RNAcentral.
AUGGCUCAGGAUGAACGCUAGCGGCGGGCUUAAUACAUGCAAGUCGAGGGCAGCACGGGUAGCAAUACCUGGUGGCGACCGGCAAACGGGUGCGGAACACGUACGCAACCUUCCCAUAACUGGUGAAUAGCCUUCCGAAAGGGAGAUUAAUACACCGUAACAUAACGAAAAGGCAUCUUUUUGUUAUUAUAGGCUUCGGCCGGUUUUGGAUGGGCGUGCGCCUGAUUAGGUAGUUGGCGGGGUAACGGCCCACCAAGCCUGCGAUCAGUAACUGGUGUGAGAGCACGACCAGUCACACGGGCACUGAGACGCGGGCCCGACUCCUACGGGAGGCAGCAGUAAGGAAUAUUGGUCAAUGGACGAAAGUCUGAACCAGCCAUGCCGCGUGAGGGAUUAAGGCCCUCUGGGUUGUAAACUUCUUUUAUCUGGGACGAAAAAGGGCUUUCUAGCUCACUUGACGGUACCAGAGGAAUAAGCACCGGCUAACUCCGUG